This 488-nucleotide ribosomal RNA is filed under the name uncultured bacterium. RNAcentral's name for it is "partial 16S ribosomal RNA". It matches the Rfam family "Bacterial small subunit ribosomal RNA", at positions 28 to 507 of the family's 1533-position model. The record is from RNAcentral.
GAUGAACGCUAGCGGCAGGCCUAAUACAUGCCAGUCGGACGGGAUCCAUUGAUAGCUUGCUAUCAAUGGUGAGAGUGGCGCACGGGUGCGUAACGCGUGAGCAACCUGCCUCCAUCAGGGGGAUAGCCUCUCGAAAGAGAGAUUAACACCGCAUAAUAUCAACAGUUCGCAUGUUCAGUUGAUUAAAUAUUUAUAGGAUGGAGAUGGGCUCGCGUGACAUUAGCUAGUUGGUAGGGUAACGGCUUACCAAGGCGACGAUGUCUAGGGGCUCUGAGAGGAGAAUCCCCCACACUGGUACUGAGACACGGACCAGACUCCUACGGGAGGCAGCAGUAAGGAAUAUUGGUCAAUGGGCGGAAGCCUGAACCAGCCAUGCCGCGUGCAGGAGGACUGCCCUAUGGGUUGUAAACUGCUUUUGUCCAGGAAUAAACCUAAAUACGAGUAUUUAGCUGAAUGUACUGGAAGAAUAAGGAUCGGCUAACUCCGUG